Molecule: ribosomal RNA, 465 nt
Filed under: Vreelandella stevensii
Lineage: Bacteria; Pseudomonadati; Pseudomonadota; Gammaproteobacteria; Oceanospirillales; Halomonadaceae
Description: partial 16S ribosomal RNA
Rfam family: Bacterial small subunit ribosomal RNA
Source: RNAcentral
CCUACGGGUGGCUGCAGUGGGGAAUAUUGGACAAUGGGGGGAACCCUGAUCCAGCCAUGCCGCGUGUGUGAAGAAGGCCCUCGGGUUGUAAAGCACUUUCAGUGAGGAAGAACGCCUGGUGGUUAAUACCCAUCAGGAAAGACAUCACUCACAGAAGAAGCACCGGCUAACUCCGUGCCAGCAGCCGCGGUAAUACGGAGGGGGCGAGCGUUAAUCGGAAUUACUGGGCGUAAAGCGCGCGUAGGUGGCUUGAUAAGCCGGUUGUGAAAGCCCCGGGCUCAACCUGGGAACGGCAUCCGGAACUGUCAAGCUAGAGUGCAGGAGAGGAAGGUAGAAUUCCCGGUGUAGCGGUGAAAUGCGUAGAGAUCGGGAGGAAGACCAGUGGCGAAGGCGGCCUUCUGGACUGACACUGACACUGAGGUGCGAAAGCGUGGGUAGCAAACAGGAUUAGAUACCCGAGUAGUC